This is a long non-coding RNA of Melitaea cinxia (Glanville fritillary), 1190 nucleotides long. RefSeq lists it as uncharacterized. The transcript has 2 exons. The record is from RefSeq and is a predicted model, not a curated record. NCBI's taxonomy places the organism in Eukaryota, Metazoa, Arthropoda, Insecta, Lepidoptera, Nymphalidae.
GCCGAGGGCGGCAAGCUGGCGGCGCGCGCGCGCCUCAAGCCGCACCCCUACCUGCCGGCCGAGGCGCUGGACUGUGAUAUAGCGCGCGCGCUGCCGCCCGCCGCCCACUACGAGCGCUUCGACAAGCGCGCGCUGCAGCAGCUGCCGAUCUACAUGUAGCCGGGGCCGGUCUCUGUGAUGUUUUGUCGUGAUUAGUUAGUGAUAAGUGCCGCGCGGAGCGACCGCGCCGGGCCCGGGCCCGCCGCCGCCGUGCCGCGCACGAACCGAAUACCAAAUAAUACCUAUGUGCGUUGAUAUUGUUUGAACGUUGAUUGUGUUUCCGUGCCGGACGAUAGCGCGACCGACGCCGGCGCACGCUCGCCAACGAGAGUAUUUAUUGCGAUCGCCGUAACCGAUGCUUCAUAUAAAUUAUUGUACCGUCGCUGAUUCGUUGCGUAUUUCUGUAUAAGAUAUCAUAUCGAUAAUAAUUAUAUGUUCAAAAAUUGUAUUAUAUAAAUAUGUACCUAUAGAGUAAAGAAAAAAAAAAUGAAAGUGAGAAAAAUAUUACGAAUAAAACUAGUAAUAGUUAUGUUUUCGAAUAGGUGAUGAGUUCUAGAACAGUCCUGAGUGCUAAACUAGAAUCGUACUCUACUCUCAUUUUGUAAGCAGUUAUGUUUGUUAAAAUUAUAUAUAAAGAGUCCUCUGAUGAAUAGUCUGAUUAACGAAUAUUCGGCAUGUAAAAGUCUUUAUAAAACGCUUACUUAGCAUAUCAUAGUAUUAUAUUGUGUCAUAGUCCAAUGCCAAAAAUAUAACUAUCUUUUUACAAAAAUCCCUAAAGCAUCGUUUUAUUUCCCUCCGUACGUACGUUCCAAGUGAUCCGGUGGUCCGGUGAGGUGGCGGCUCCGAUUCUACCAGUGCGUGCUGUGGAAUGUGUUAGAUCUGUUAAGAGUUGCGAGGCGCAGCCUCCCAGUGCUUGUUGUGUGCUCGGAAAGUAUCUGAACGACUCGGAUGUUGGAUUACACUAACUGAGAAUGCGAGGCGACCCCCACGUCACGAUCGACAGCAUUCUUCGCUGAACAAUACAUUGUCAACGAGUAACAAUAGAUGGAACAAUCGCGAGCUGCGUCGUCGCGACGAUUGUUCGGGUGUGCUUCAAUGAGAUUCGCUAAAAGUACACAUUCAUUGUAUUUUAUCAAUAAAAAAUUAAAUCG